UUCCAUUACACGUUUGAUUGGCUGCCGGGAACCCGGGCCACGCCCCUCUCGCCCGCCCUUCACCGCCCAAAGAUGGCCGGUCGUUCAACUGCAUCCAGUAUACUAUAGAGUAUGUGAGCAUUGUGACGGUCACAGGGCUGGGUAUGGGCUGCCUCCUCUCUCUGCAUACUUGGUUGGCCAAUCAGAAUGCAGCCUGAGACGAGGCUCAGCCAAUGGGAAUGUCAGUAAGGAGCGGCGCUGGUGCAGCGAGUUCCGGUGCAGCUCAGUGUGUGUCUUGGCGGUGGGUGGGGCGGAGCCCGCGGCUUUGGGAAGGGACCGGAGCGGAUAGCUUUUAUCUGAAUCCAAUGAUACGGCCGGGGCGGCUCCGCUAGGGAGUCUGGCGGCCUGCUACGCCCUGCACCACACACCGGGACGGCGGGGACUACCUCCAUCCAAUAGCCAAGCGCGGCCAGCGGGACAGCCAGCACCUCGGGGAGGGAGAGGAGAAGGUGUCAGCAUGGACCAGGCGGAGAUCCUGAGGACUUUCAUUCAGAGGGUGCGGGAUAUGGAUAACAAGGACCACAAUGGGGAGGAUAACUUCGCCUGCGACUUCAUGGUGAGAGAGAGAGAGAGCAAGACAUGGGCUGGGCACAGGGAUCACUAACAUGCCAUCUAAUGGUCCUGCAGGGCUGGGUGUAACCUGGAUGGGGAGUGCUGGAUGUGAUAGUGUGC
Non-coding RNA from Pelobates cultripes (western spadefoot toad), 711 nucleotides. Lineage: Eukaryota; Metazoa; Chordata; Amphibia; Anura; Pelobatidae. The record is from the annotation of a GenBank genome assembly.